This 452-nucleotide ribosomal RNA is filed under the name uncultured bacterium. RNAcentral describes it as "bacterial SSU rRNA". It matches the Rfam family "Bacterial small subunit ribosomal RNA", at positions 28 to 489 of the family's 1533-position model. The record is from RNAcentral.
GAUAAACGCUGGCGGCGUGCCUAACACAUGCAAGUCGAACGUCCUCUUUUGCCUUCGCGAGAAGGGGAGAGAGGGAGUGGCGGACGGGUGAGUAACACGUGGGUACCUACCCUGGGGUGAGGAAUACCGGCGAGAAAUCGCCGACAAGACCGCAUAGGCUCUUUCUUGCACACGUAAAAGAGAGCAAAGCCGAAAGGUGCCCUGGGAUGGGCCUGCGGCCGAUUAGCUAGUUGGCGAGGUAAGAGCUCCCCAAGGCGACGAUCGGUAGCUGGUCUGAGAGGACGAACAGCCACACUGGGAUUGAGAACGGCCCAGACUCCUACGGGGGCAGCAGUGAGGAAUUUUCCGCAAUGGGCGCAAGCCUGACGGAGCAACGCCGCGUGCAGGACGAAGGUUUUCGGAUCGUAAACUGCUUUUCUCGGGGACGAACUAAGACGGUACUCGAGGAACAA